Molecule: ribosomal RNA, 861 nt
Filed under: uncultured Neocallimastigales
Lineage: Eukaryota; Fungi; Neocallimastigomycota; Neocallimastigomycetes; Neocallimastigales
Description: partial large subunit ribosomal RNA
Rfam family: Eukaryotic large subunit ribosomal RNA
Source: RNAcentral
GUACACGCUGUGACUAGCAUAUCAAUAAGCGGAGGAAAAGGUACCUACGCUUAGGAUGUUGACACACGCGCGUGCUCGAUGAUAGUCUAUACAUGACUCUGUGCAUAUCAAUAAGCGGAGGAAAAGAAACUAACAAGGAUUCCCCUAGUAACGGCGAGUGAAGCGGGAAGAGCUCAAAUUUGAAAUCUUAAAGGGUUUCCCUUUACGAAUUGUAGUUUAAAGAAGUGUUUUCUGUUGAGGUUUUGGUAAAAGUUCUUUGGAAUAGGACAUCAUAGAGGGUGAGAAUCCCGUAUUUGACCUUUACUUUCGACUUUGUGAUACACUUUCAAAGAGUCGGAUUGUUUGGGAAUGCAGUCCAAAAUGGGUGGUAAAUUUCAUCUAAAGCUAAAUAUUGGCGAGAGACCGAUAGCGAACAAGUACCGUGAGGGAAAGAUGAAAAGAACUUUGAAGAGAGAGUUAAACAGUACGUGAAAUUGUCAAAAGGGAAGCGUUUGACACCAGUGUUGUUUUUCUGAAAAUCAAUUAAAGAACUGUUUAUGCUAAGUUGUUUAGACAUUUAUCAGCUAACUGUUUAGUUUUGAGCUUUUCUUUAAUGCACUUCUCAGUUAACGAAGUCAACAUCAAUUUCUUUUGCUGUAAAAAAGCUUGAGGAAGGUGGCUUGAGAUUCGUCUUAAGUGUUUAUAGCCUCUUGCCUAUGCAGUCGGAGAGAUUGAGGUCUGCAGCGUAGAUCCUUCGGGGCUAAAUGCAUUUGUGCUAAGUUAUAACAUUUUAUAGACAACUUGUUGACUAUGAUUUGUCUUGUAGCUUACUCGCUUAUGUUAUUUUACCUACGCUUAGGAUGUUGAGAUGUAGCACAUCAU